This 1062-nucleotide long non-coding RNA is filed under the name Apteryx owenii (little spotted kiwi). RNAcentral's name for it is "lncRNA (ENSAOWG00000015407.1)". Lineage: Eukaryota; Metazoa; Chordata; Aves; Apterygiformes; Apterygidae. The record is from RNAcentral.
GCUGCGGUUCAGUAAGACGCAAUGACAGAUCUCUGCUUUUCCUUUCCCUCCCUCUCCUCCCCUCUUAUCUUUAAAGCCAGAAGAUACCAGCAGCCUCCAAGUGCUUUUGGGUGCAGUAUCUGCAAAUCUCAGGCAUGUUAUAACGGUGAAGAAUCACUCCCAUGCUAAAGAUCAAGGCAGCUUUAAAACGGAGGCCAAAGCCUGCACCAGAUAUCAUCGCCAGCUUUUUCUUGCCUACAGUUUAUUUUAUGUUACGUCUUAAACUGGCCUUUUUUUUUUUUUUUUUAAAUAGCAAGUGACCUUCAUUUAACUCUGCCACGUUUGAUGAUUUAACAGCAGAUGCAGAACAGCCACCUCCGUACGGAAGCUGCCCCACCGUGCGCCCCUUCUGGCUGCCCCUCGCACAGCCUGUUCCGGGGUAACUCCACGUUCUUCCCCAAGAGUUUCACCUUUCCCAUCCCGGCCGCGCGCCGCAGCCGGCAUCGCCUGCUCCCUGCCCGUCCGACCCUCAGCGGGAAGCUUCAUCUCCAAGCGCUGCGACUACCCCGCUCUCCGACUGCUCCUCCGGAAAGCCAGGAGCCCCGGGCUCGGUAAGCGCGACAGAGAGAGCGUGGUUAUUUUAUGCUCGGCGGCACGUGCUGCGUGCUCUCCACGUGCCGAAAACGCGACCCCGCUGCCCAACGCAAGCGUCCUCCGCGCCUCCAUGUGCAACCCCAAAGGGAAGAGGAGCACCAGCCUUCCGGCUAACCUCAGCCAGGACGAGGCCACUCAAGAGGCUCCAGGAAAACACAUGCAUCGAACCGUACACGCAACGGAGGGAGCUGCAAGCGAGGAACUCCUAGAAGAAAGACUCCAGCUCCCAGCUCGCUCACGGCCUGUGGAUGGAAAUCGCCCCUCGAGGCGCCAGGAUGGAGCCAACUGCUCUGCUCAGAUUCUGCCGGCAUUGGGAAACGGUUCCAACGGCAAAACACCGGAUGGGAUCUUCUCCUCUCCUCCCAUGCGCUACACGCACGCAAGACACGCUUUUUCUGACACCUCUCGACUAGCAUAAGUCGGGUAUUC